UAAAUAAAAUAUUUAUAUUAAAUUUAUAUAAAAUAAAAUAUAAUAAAUUAAGUAUAUUAAUAGAAAAAUAUUAAUUUUAUAAGUAAAUUUUUAAUUGUACCUUUUGUAUUAUGGAUUAACAAGUAAAUAAGUUAAAAUAUAUCAUACCCGAAUUUAAAAUGAUAUGUAUUAUAAUUGUUAAGAACUUUAUAAAUUAUUGUUUAAUAAAUAUUUAAAAAUUAUAAUACAGAGGCUACAUACCAAACGCAUUUUAAAAUAACUGGUUUUAUUAAAAAUCUACAAAGUAGAAAAACUUAUAAAGUUUUUGAUUUAAUGAAUAUAAAUUCAUUAAAUUUAUACUAAUUAAAAUUAAAUAUGUAUAAUAAAACUGUAAGCUUUAAAAUAGCUAAUAAUUAAUACUUUAUAGUUAAUAAUUUCAUUAAAUUAUAUAAUAUAAUUGUAAAAUAUUUAUAAUAAAAUUUUAUAAAACUUAUAAUAGAAAUUAUACUGUUAGUAUUAGUACUUAAUAAAAUUUAUUAAAGGAAUUCGGCAAAAUUUAUUUCCGACUGUUUUCAAAAACAUUUCUUUUAGAAAAUAUUAAAAGUAGGCCCUGCCCAAUGAUGAAUUUAAUGGCCGCGGUAUUCUAACCGUGCAAAGGUAGCAAAAUAAUUUGCUUAUUAAUUGUAAGCUAGAAUGAAUGGGUUAACGAGAAAUAUACUGUCUCUAAUAUUUUUAUGAAAAUUAUCUUUUAAGUGAAGAGACUUAAAUAAUAAUAAAAGACAAGAAGACCCCAUAGAGUUUUACUAUAUAAAUAAAUAAUUUAUUUUAAAGUUUGGUUGGGGUGACCCGAGGAAUAAUAAACACCUCAAUUAUAUAAAAAUAUAUUAAUUAAAUAAAGACCCUUUUUAUAGAUCAAUAAUAAAAAUUACCUUGGGGGUAACAGACUUAUAACUUUAUAGAGUUCUUAUCAAUAAUGUUGUUUGGCACCUCGAUGUUGGCUUAGGGUAUCUUAUUAUAACGCAGUAGUUAAUAAAGUAGGUUUGUUCAACCUUUAAAACCCUACAUGAGCUGAGUUCAGACCGGCGUGAGCCAGGUUAGUUUCUAUCUUUAAUAAAAUAUUUUUAGUACGAAAGGACCAAAAUAUAUCUAUUAUAGAUAAUUUAAUACUAAAUUAAU
This 1155-nucleotide ribosomal RNA is filed under the name Pterobdella arugamensis. Its description in RNAcentral is "16S ribosomal RNA". The stretch from base 754 to 1088 matches the Rfam family "Bacterial large subunit ribosomal RNA", at positions 2075 to 2645 of the family's 2925-position model. Lineage: Eukaryota; Metazoa; Annelida; Clitellata; Hirudinida; Piscicolidae. The record is from RNAcentral.